CUUGCCCGGGGUUUCGGCCUGCCUCUGGUUCUCGCAAGGGAUUCACUCCCGUAGCCCCUGCUCAGUCCGUGUUUAAUGCUGAAGUUACUCCUAAUGUCCAUGAGGAAACCCGUGAAGGUGCGUGAGGCUUCUUGUGUGAUUAGGUGUAGGGGAACGAGGUCUCACCCCUGCGGCCCUCUGAAAUGGAGCCAAACUCUGAAUUCACACGCAUCUGCUCUGAAGUGAGUCCAGCUGAACAUUUGGAGCCCUCUCGAGGAAAGUUGUCAUUCCUGGAAGGAGAUGCGAAGCAUGAAGUGGAAGACUUUUCUACAUGAAAAAAGAUCAUGCAUGAUACAUCUGUACUGGCAUAAUCACAUCUCA
Long non-coding RNA from Cygnus olor (mute swan), 360 nucleotides. RefSeq lists it as uncharacterized. The transcript is spliced from 3 exons. The record is from RefSeq and is a predicted model, not a curated record. Lineage: Eukaryota; Metazoa; Chordata; Aves; Anseriformes; Anatidae.